GGCUGGCUAGCUCAGUUGGUAGAGCACUGGAACGGUAAUCCGGAGGUUGCAGGUUCAAACCCUGCACCAGUCA
This 73-nucleotide transfer RNA is filed under the name Patiria miniata (bat star). RNAcentral describes it as "tRNA-Thr". It matches the Rfam family "tRNA". From Rfam's summary of the family: Transfer RNA (tRNA) molecules are approximately 80 nucleotides in length. Their secondary structure includes four short double-helical elements and three loops (D, anti-codon, and T loops). Further hydrogen bonds mediate the characteristic L-shaped molecular structure. tRNAs have two regions of fundamental functional importance: the anti-codon, which is responsible for specific mRNA codon recognition, and the 3' end, to which the tRNAs corresponding amino acid is attached (by aminoacyl-tRNA synthetases). tRNAs cope with the degeneracy of the genetic code in two manners: having more than one tRNA (with a specific anti-codon) for a particular amino acid; and 'wobble' base-pairing, i.e. permitting non-standard base-pairing at the 3rd anti-codon position. Lineage: Eukaryota; Metazoa; Echinodermata; Asteroidea; Valvatida; Asterinidae. The record is from Rfam by way of RNAcentral.